AUGCAGUCGAGCGGACCGACGGGAGCUUGCUCCCUUAGGUCAGCGGCGGACGGGUGAGUAACACGUGGGUAACCUGCCUGUAAGACUGGGAUAACUCCGGGAAACCGGGGCUAAUACCGGAUGCUUGAUUGAACCGCAUGGUUCAAUCAUNAAAGGCGGCUUCGGCUGCCGUUUACAGAUGGACCCGCGGCGCAUUAGCUAGUUGGUGAGGUAACGGCUCACCAAGGCGACGAUGCGUAGCCGACCUGAGAGGGUGAUCGGCCACACUGGGACUGAGACACGGCCCAGACUCCUACGGGAGGCAGCAGUAGGGAAUCUUCCGCAAUGGACGAAAGUCUGACGGAGCAACGCCGCGUGAGUGAUGAAGGUUUUCGGAUCGUAAAGCUCUGUUGUUAGGGAAGAACAAGUACCGUUCGAAUAGGGCGGUACCUUGACGGUACCUAACCAGAAAGCCACGGCUAACUACGUGCCAGCAGCCGCGGUAAUACGUAGGUGGCAAGCGUUGUCCGGAAUUAUUGGGCGUAAAGCGCGCGCAGGCGGUUUCUUAAGUCUGAUGUGAAAGCCCCCGGCUCAACCGGGGAGGGUCAUUGGAAACUGGGGAACUUGAGUGCAGAAGAGGAGAGUGGAAUUCCACGUGUAGCGGUGAAAUGCGUAGAGAUGUGGAGGAACACCAGUGGCGAAGGCGACUCUCUGGUCUGUAACUGACGCUGAGGCGCGAAAGCGUGGGGAGCGAACAGGAUUAGAUACCCUGGUAGUCCACGCCGUAAACGAUGAGUGCUAAGUGUUAGAGGGUUUCCGCCCUUUAGUGCUGCAGCAAACGCAUUAAGCACUCCGCCUGGGGAGUACGGUCGCAAGACUGAAACUCAAAGGAAUUGACGGGGGCCCGCACAAGCGGUGGAGCAUGUGGUUUAAUUCGAAGCAACGCGAGAACCUUACCAGGUCUUGACAUCCUCUGACAUNCCUAGAGAUAGGCUUCCCCUCGGGGCAGAGUGACAGUGGUGCAUGCGUCGUCAGCUCGUG
RNAcentral lists this ribosomal RNA (1020 nucleotides) under Bacillus sp. (in: firmicutes). Its description in RNAcentral is "bacterial SSU rRNA". It matches the Rfam family "Bacterial small subunit ribosomal RNA", at positions 55 to 1064 of the family's 1533-position model. Lineage: Bacteria; Bacillati; Bacillota; Bacilli; Caryophanales; Bacillaceae. The record is from RNAcentral.